GUCGAACGCUGGCGGCGGGCUUAACACAUGCAAGUCGAACGGAAAGGCCCUGCUUUUGUGGGGUUCUCGAGUGGCGAACGGGUGAGUAACACGUGAGUAACCUGCCCUUGACUGUGGGAUAACUUCAGGAAACUGGGGCUAAUACCGGAUAGUAGCUCCUGCUGCAUGGUGGGGGGGGGAAAGGUGCGGCGGUUGGGGAUGGACUCGCGGCUUAUCAGCUAGUUGGUGGGGGAGUGGCUUACCAAGGCUUUGACGGGUAGCCGGCAUGAGAGGGUGACCACCCACAUGGGGACUGAGGUACGGACCAGUCUCCUACGGGAGGCAGCGGUGGCGAAUCUUACACAGUGAGCGGAAGCCUAAUGCAACGACGCCGCGUUCGGAAAGUCGGCCCAGCGGUUGUAAAGCGCUUUCGCCUAUGACGAGUCGUGAGUGACGUUAAUGGGUGAAGAAGCACCGGCUAACUACGUG
RNAcentral lists this ribosomal RNA (468 nucleotides) under uncultured bacterium. RNAcentral's name for it is "partial 16S ribosomal RNA". It matches the Rfam family "Bacterial small subunit ribosomal RNA", at positions 28 to 507 of the family's 1533-position model. The record is from RNAcentral.